AGAGUUUGAUCAGUGGCUCAGGACGACGCUGGCGGCGUGCCUAACACAUGCAAGUCGAGCGGGGUCCAUCCAGUGGCAACACUGGGGAAGACCUAGCGGCGAACGGGUGAGUAACACGUGAGGAACUUGCCCCGGAGUACGGGAUAACUCGAGGAAACUCGAGCUAAUACCGUAUGCCCUCUUCUGGUCGCAUGGCCGGAUGAGGAAAGAUUUAUUGCUCCGGGAGAGCCUCGCGGCCUAUCAGCUAGUUGGUGGGGUAACGGCCCACCAAGGCAUCGACGGGUAGCUGGUCUGAGAGGACGAUCAGCCACACUGGGACUGAGACACGGCCCAGACUCCUACGGGAGGCAGCAGUGGGGAAUCUUGCGCAAUGGGCGAAAGCCUGACGCAGCAACGCCGCGUGCGGGAUGAAGGCCUUCGGGUUGUAAACCGCUUUCAGCAGGGAAGAAACUGACGGUACCUGCAGAAGAAGCCCCGGCCAACUACGUG
RNAcentral lists this ribosomal RNA (489 nucleotides) under uncultured bacterium. Its description in RNAcentral is "bacterial SSU rRNA". It matches the Rfam family "Bacterial small subunit ribosomal RNA", at positions 8 to 507 of the family's 1533-position model. The record is from RNAcentral.